GGUGAACGCUGGCGGUAGGCCUAGCACAUGCAAGUCGAACGGCAGCACAGUAAGAGCUUGCUCUUACGGGUGGCGAGUGGCGGACGGGUGAGGAAUACAUCGGAAUCUACUUUUUCGUGGGGGAUAACGUAGGGAAACUUACGCUAAUACCGCAUACGACCUACGGGUGAAAGCAGGGGAUCUUCGGACCUUUCGCGAUUGUAUUAGCCGAUUUCGGAUUAGAUAGUUGGCGGGGUAAAGUCCACCAAGGCGACGAUCCGUAGCUGGUCUGAGAGGAUGAUCGGCCACACUGGAACUGAGACACGGUCCAGACUCCUACGGGAGGCAGCAGUAGGGAAUCUUGGGCAAUGGGCGCAAGCCUGAUCCAGCCAUACCGCGUGAGUGAAGAAGGCCUUCGGGUUGUAAAGCCCUGUUGUUGGGAAAGAAAAGCAGCAGGUUUAUACCCCGAUGUUCUGACGGUACCCAAAGAAUAAGCACCGGCUAACUUCGUG
RNAcentral lists this ribosomal RNA (491 nucleotides) under uncultured bacterium. RNAcentral's name for it is "partial 16S ribosomal RNA". It matches the Rfam family "Bacterial small subunit ribosomal RNA", at positions 28 to 507 of the family's 1533-position model. The record is from RNAcentral.